UGAGCCGGCCGGGUGGCCGCGGCGUGGUCCGCCACGCUGAGGAAGGUCGGGGCUCCAGAGGACAGGAUGCUGGCUAGCGGCCAGUCGGGGCGACCCGCAGGAAAGUGCCACAGAGAACAGACCGCCGAUGACCCGGUUCCUCUCCCCACGGGGUGAAGAUCCGGGUACAGGUGAGGGUGAAACGGUGCGGUAAGAGCGCACCAGCGGCCGGGGCGACCCGGGCGGCUAGGCAAACCCCAUCCGGAGCAAGGCCGAACAGGGAGAGGGCGGUCCGCCCGUUGACACUCCCAGGUGGGCCGCACAGAUGGAUGGCCACACAACCGGAGUCCCGCAAGGGUCCGGUGGACAGAACCCCGCCUACAGGCCGGCUCACCGU
This 376-nucleotide RNase P RNA is filed under the name Acidimicrobiales bacterium. RNAcentral describes it as "RNase P RNA component class A". It matches the Rfam family "Bacterial RNase P class A". Rfam says of the family: Ribonuclease P (RNase P) is a ubiquitous endoribonuclease, found in archaea, bacteria and eukarya as well as chloroplasts and mitochondria. Its best characterised activity is the generation of mature 5'-ends of tRNAs by cleaving the 5'-leader elements of precursor-tRNAs. Cellular RNase Ps are ribonucleoproteins. The record is from RNAcentral. Lineage: Bacteria; Bacillati; Actinomycetota; Acidimicrobiia; Acidimicrobiales. RNAcentral also lists the same sequence under 1 other name.